This 378-nucleotide unclassified non-coding RNA is filed under the name uncultured Parachlamydiaceae bacterium. RNAcentral describes it as "contains 16S-23S intergenic spacer region". Lineage: Bacteria; Pseudomonadati; Chlamydiota; Chlamydiia; Parachlamydiales; Parachlamydiaceae. The record is from RNAcentral.
UCCUGGUUAACCCAGGCAGUCUCAUUAGAGUUCCCACCUUCACGUGUUGGCAACUAAUGAUAAGGGUUGCGCUCGUUGCUGGACUUAACCAAACACCUCACGGCACGAGCUGACGACAGCCAUGCAGCACCUGUGCAGAGGUCCCGAAGGACUAAAACAUUUCUGCUUUAUUCCUCUGCAUGUCAAGUCUGGGUAAGGUUUUUCGCGUAGCAUCGAAUUAAACCACAUACUCCACUGCUUGUGCGGGUCCCCGUCAAUUCUUUUGAGUUUCACCCUUGCGAGCGUACUCCCCAGGCGGUAUACUUAUCGCGUUCGCUUCGGCACAACUAGGGUUGAAUCCAGUUACACCAAGUAUACAUCGUUUACGGCAAGGACUAC